CAAAACGAAACCCAGUACUCCACCUUACUCGCUCAAACUAGUAAAACCACUUAUUGAAAAACAUCCACAACAAACUCAACAUGUAAUUCUCUCAGCGCCAGUGUGUAAAACGCAGGACGACAGCUUCACAGAGGCAGGUCCCGACACCGAGUAUCGGCUCCAGGAGUUCUCAGCCCGGGAAUGUUACGAAAUAAAUGGCAGAAAGGAACCACUGUGCACGCUUGACCGUUCAUCAGAGCACUGCGCCAUCUCGUCCACACACGUCAAGUGGUGCUCCAGCGUUCAGCUGCUCUGCUUGCACCGUGUUCCCACAGAAGUGAUGGAAGGUGAGACCCUGCUGAUCCUUCUGCCUUUGCCUGCUGGGCAGCUUCCUUCUUCAUACUGCGCCUGCUCUGUUUUUCACCACACCGGUUUUGCCUGCAUCUGGGGUGCUGACUGUUUUUAACCAAUGCCACGCAGACAAACAAUGUUGACAGCAACACAAGAGGAUCUUAUAAGCCUGAAGGCUUGUAGGCCGAAUUGACGUGCCUCGUCACUCACAAUGAGAAGGCUCAUUCAAGGACACCUGACAGGAUUAAGGCACGGGACACAUCACCUCACACUGACUGCAGUGAUUCAUCCCUGCUCCUUUUUCACUGUUGUGAGUACUGAGGCUCGGAAGAGACUCAUGCAGAAUGCACUGCAGCUAUUUCCAGACUUGCCCUUGGAUUGUGAGAAAAUCUAGAAGACCCAUUUCAGAUGGUCUUCCAGAGAGCCCCACUAGACAAUAGUGAGGUCGACCUGUAACUACCACAUGUUCUUGCUUUCAGAAGCAGUCAACAUCUCACUAUCACCUUUGCUCCUUCUUCUUCAGGUGCCCCAGCCAGGGAUCAAGAGAGUAAGUAAUGAGCUCUCUUUUGGUAAUUAAACCCAGAAUCACAUCUGAAUUGAAAGAUGCAAUGGAAAAGCGCAGCACCAAUGGUGUAAUAUUACAAAUCUAGUUCCAAUUCAAGCCAUUUUCCAGUUACCAUAAUCCAUUACUAGCACAAUGGCUUACUGUAUUUUUUAAAACUCCACUGUUGUAGAAAGUGCAGAUCAAACUAUGACACUAAACUGAGGUCCAGAUGUAAUGUUUAAUGUGUUCACUAAAACUUCCAUGUCAAUGCUACCAGACCCCCUGACAUUACCACUUGUAGUUCUAGUAAGAGAGAUGAUAUUCAGGAAAUGAAACACAGCAUGUCUAAUCACUGGACAAGGAUUCUUAAAACAAUUCGUUUUUCCUUCUUAGGAUCGUCUAAAUCAAUCUGGAAUCAGAGAUAUUUCCUUCCGUUCAGGUGUUGAGUUAUACAACAUGCUGCACCUGUCAGUGUAUCUAGGUUCUCUGCCCUGAGCUCACUUGUGAAUUCUUCCAGGUAUAUCCUUUGAGAAGGAGUUUAAUGCCACCCAACCAGGAAAAGGUAAGAGUUCUGUCUCACUUAUUUCUGAACUGAGGCAAAGAAAAAGACUACCUACCUAUACAAAAAGCACACUUCACAUUCAAGAAAAAUAAUUUAAAAAAUGUUCAUUAAUAAGAUGCAGCACAAACUACAGCUAUAAGAUGCUCUUGAAUGAUGGAAGACAA
This is a long non-coding RNA of Lepisosteus oculatus (spotted gar), 1600 nucleotides long. The record is from Ensembl. Lineage: Eukaryota; Metazoa; Chordata; Actinopteri; Semionotiformes; Lepisosteidae.